UACGUAGGCAGCGAGCGUUGUUCGGAGUUACUGGGCGUAAAGGGUGUGUAGGCGGUUCUCUAAGUUUGGUGUGAAAUCUCCCGGCUCAACCGGGAGGGUGCGCCGAAAACUGGGGGACUCGAGUGCGGGAUGGGAGAGUAGAAUUCCUGGUGUAGCGGUGAAAUGCGUAGAUAUCAGGAGGAAUACCGGUGGUGUAGACGGCUCUCUGGACCGCCACUGACGCUGAGACACGAAAGCGUGGGUAGCAAACAGGG
Molecule: ribosomal RNA, 254 nt
Filed under: uncultured bacterium
Lineage: Bacteria
Description: partial 16S ribosomal RNA
Rfam family: Bacterial small subunit ribosomal RNA
Source: RNAcentral